UAACCUACCCUAUAGACGUGGAAUAACGUUACCGGGAAACCGGAGACUAAGUACCGGAAUAAUUACUUUAGAACCACAGUUAGGUUUAAGUUAGAAAGAGUGGUUUUUGCUAUCACUAUAGGAUGGACCCGCGGCGCAUUAGCUAGUUGGUGAGGUAACGGCUCACCAAGGCAACGAUGCAUAGCCGACCUGAGAGGGUGAUCGGCCACACUGGGACUGAGACACGGCCCAGACUCCGUACGGGAGCAGCAGUAGGAAUCUUCCACAAUGGACGAAGUCUGAUGGAGCAACGCCGCCGUGAGUGAAGAAGGAUUUCGGUUCGUAAAACUCUGUUGCAAGGGAAGAACAAGUAGCGUAGUAACUGGCGCUACCUUGACGGUACCUUGUUAGAAAGCCACGGCUAACUACGUGCCAGCCGCCGC
This 422-nucleotide ribosomal RNA is filed under the name uncultured bacterium. RNAcentral's name for it is "bacterial SSU rRNA". It matches the Rfam family "Bacterial small subunit ribosomal RNA", at positions 122 to 518 of the family's 1533-position model. The record is from RNAcentral.